This 442-nucleotide ribosomal RNA is filed under the name uncultured bacterium. RNAcentral's name for it is "partial 16S ribosomal RNA". It matches the Rfam family "Bacterial small subunit ribosomal RNA", at positions 338 to 795 of the family's 1533-position model. The record is from RNAcentral.
CCUACGGGAGGCAGCAGUGGGGAAUAUUGGGCAAUGGGCGAAAGCCUGACCCAGCAACGCCGCGUGAAGGAAGAAGGCUUUCGGGUUGUAAACUUCUUUUGACAGGGAAGAGUAGAAGACGGUACCUGUCGAAUAAGCAACGGCUAACUACGUGCCAGCAGCCGCCGUAAUACGGAGGGGGCAAGUGUUGUCCGGGUUUACUGGGUGUAAAGGGCGUGUAGGCGGGUUGACAAGUCAGAUGUGAAAUCCUGCGGCUUAACCGCAGAACUGCAUUGGAAACUGUUGAUCUUGAGUACUGGUGAGGCAGACGGAAUUCCUAGUGUAGCGGUGAAAUGCGUAGAUAUUAGGAGGAACACCAGUGGCGAAGGCGGCCUGCGGGACAGCAACUGACGGUGAGGCUCGAAAGCGUGGGGAGCAAACAGGAUUAGAUACCCCUGUAGUC